UACGUAGGGGACGAGCGUUGUCCGGAAUUACUGGGCGUAAAGGGCGCGCAGGCGGUAUAUCAAGUCAGCUGUCAAAGACUGGGGCUCAACCCUGGUAUGCGGUUGAAACUGAUAUGCUGGAGUGCUGUAGAGGCAAGUGGAAUUCCCAGUGUAGCGGUGAAAUGCGUAGAUAUUGGGAAGAACACCGGUGGCGAAGGCGACUUGCUGGGCAGCAACUGACGCUGAGGCGCGAAAGCGUGGGGAGCGAACAGGAUUA
RNAcentral lists this ribosomal RNA (256 nucleotides) under uncultured prokaryote. RNAcentral's name for it is "partial 16S ribosomal RNA". It matches the Rfam family "Bacterial small subunit ribosomal RNA", at positions 524 to 780 of the family's 1533-position model. The record is from RNAcentral.